UCUUUAAUUGCCAAAGGCAAAGGUUUGAUAUUACAUAACUUCAAAUCCGUUUUUUUUUGCGUAUACAUUAUCUAUAUUUUCUAAACUGUAGUGAAAUUUACUUGUAUUCUCAAGAGCUUAUUAUGAAAAUCGCCUUUACAAUCUUUUGUAUGGUCGUUUUGAGCUUAUUUGGAGACACAGCAUGCGCUACUGACCAAUGCAUCAGAAAUUGUAUAGAUAGUUCCAGUAGCUGUAUCAGAGGUUGUGGUGGAAAAUUUAUUUUCCAGAUGUUGUCAUGUCAUUCAAGUUGCAAAACGCAAUGUGUACAAUGUACCGUCAAGUGCCCUAACAGUUCAGGAAAAACUUGUAAAUUUUAAGUCAUAAAUAAAAAAAAAUAUCGUUUCGUGUUGUAAUA
Mytilus trossulus (common blue mussel) is the source of this 394-nucleotide long non-coding RNA. RefSeq lists it as uncharacterized. NCBI's taxonomy places the organism in Eukaryota, Metazoa, Mollusca, Bivalvia, Mytilida, Mytilidae. The record is from RefSeq and is a predicted model, not a curated record. The transcript is spliced from 2 exons.